Molecule: ribosomal RNA, 485 nt
Filed under: uncultured bacterium
Lineage: Bacteria
Description: bacterial SSU rRNA
Rfam family: Bacterial small subunit ribosomal RNA
Source: RNAcentral
AACGAACGCUGGCGGCAUGCCUCAUACAUGCAAGUCGAACGGAAAGGCCCUUUCGGGGGUACUCGAGUGGCGAACGGGUGAGUAACGCGUGGGUAACGUGCCCUUUGGCUGGGGAUAACCGGGAGAAAUUCUGGCUAAUACCGAAUAAGCUCGCGAGGACUUUGGUCUUUGUGAGGAAAGGGGGGCAACUCCCACCGAAGGAUCGACCCGCGUCCCAUCAGCUAGUUGGUAGGGUAACGGCCUACCAAGGCAGCGACGGGUAGCUGGUCUGAGAGGAUGAUCAGCCACACUGGGACUGAGAUACGGCCCAGACUCCCACGGGAGGCAGCAGUAGGGAAUAUUGGACAAUGGACGAAAGUCUGAUCCAGCAAUGCCGUGUGUGUGAUGAAGGCCCUCGGGUUGUAAAGCACUGUCGGGAGGGACGAAAAUGGUCGUGUAACGGCGACAACUGACGGUACCUCCUAAGGAAGCACCGGCUAACUCUG